This 253-nucleotide ribosomal RNA is filed under the name uncultured bacterium. RNAcentral's name for it is "partial 16S ribosomal RNA". It matches the Rfam family "Bacterial small subunit ribosomal RNA", at positions 524 to 776 of the family's 1533-position model. The record is from RNAcentral.
GACGAACCGUGCGAACGUUAUUCGGAAUCAUUGGGCUUAAAGGGCGCGUAGGCGGCGGCGUAAGUUGGAAGUGAAAUCCCAUCGGCUCAACCGUGGAAUUGCUCCCAGUACUGCGUCGCUCGAGGGGGAUAGGGGUCUGCGGAACUACCGGUGGAGCGGUGAAAUGUGUUGAUAUCGGUGGGAACGCCAGUGGCGAAGCGGCAGACUGGACCCUUCCUGACGCUGAUGCGCGAAAGCUAGGGGAGCAAACGGG